This is a long non-coding RNA of Labeo rohita (rohu), 809 nucleotides long. RefSeq lists it as uncharacterized. The transcript has 2 exons. The record is from RefSeq and is a predicted model, not a curated record. NCBI's taxonomy places the organism in Eukaryota, Metazoa, Chordata, Actinopteri, Cypriniformes, Cyprinidae.
UUCAGCUUUGAGAUCAAACUCACAGCUGAGAGAACUGGAUCUGUCUGGGAAUUAUAUAGAAGAUGGAGGUGUGAUGCUGCUUUCCGCUUUAAAAGUUAAUCCACAGUAUAAACUGAAGGCACUGCAGUUUUAAAUGAUGGUGGAUAUGGGAUCACAGACAAAUGAAAGUGAACAGAAUCAACAAAAAUGAACUCGCAGUGAACACGCGCUGAUGUGUGUUGGGGAUACAGGAGUUUACACAGGCAACGUUACAGUGACUUGGAUUUUAACACGAGCUGCUUAAAAUGCUCUAUUAUUUAUGUGUAUACACAUCUGAAUAUGACAUUUGUAAAGCAAACUUUCUGUUGCUUCACACACAAGAAGAAUUCAGCUUUUACUCAUAAGAACAAUGGUUGCAUUUGCAGUGACAUGAUUCAGCAGAGGAUAUCAUUUCUUAUGAGUAAAUCAUUAAUUCAUAAUUGCAUUCAUAUUACCAUGUUAAAUUUAGAUAGGUGUGUACAUAUUUUACCCUUUGGGCUACUUCAGACCUUUCACUGCAAUUUGAGACUUUUUACUGACAGCACAGGAUUGUAAUACAUUUUGAGUGAAAUAAUGUCUUUGAUAUAAAGGCAACUUUUUAAUGCAUCUGAAUGUAACAAAACAAAUAACUUUUAUAAUAUAUAAUAUGAUAAAUAUAUAAACUUGGAUGCAUGUUGCUCACAUAUUGUGUGAAAACUCUCUGUAUGAUAUUUCUAAUGAGUAUAUUGUAUAUAAUUGUAAAGGAUUUUUUGUACAUAGGAUUUAUUAAACUCUUCAUAAGUGAAGUUGGA